RNAcentral lists this ribosomal RNA (253 nucleotides) under uncultured bacterium. RNAcentral's name for it is "partial 16S ribosomal RNA". It matches the Rfam family "Bacterial small subunit ribosomal RNA", at positions 524 to 776 of the family's 1533-position model. The record is from RNAcentral.
UACGUAGGGGGCAAGCGUUGUCCGGAUUCAUUGGGCGUAAAGAGCGUGUAGGCGGCCAGGUAGGUCGGUUGUGAAAACUGGAGGCUCAACCUUCAGAGGUCGACCGAAACCAUCUGGCUAGAGUCCGGGAGAGGAGAGUGGAAUUCCUGGUGUAGCGGUGAAAUGUGCAGAUAUCAGGAAGAACACCCGUGGCGAAAGCGGCUCUCUGGAACGGUACUGACGCUGAGACGCGAAAGCGUGGGGAGCGAACAGG